UUCCCUGUAGCGCAAUGGAUAGCACGUUGGACUUCUAAUCCAAAGGUUGUGGGUUCGAAUCCCACCUAGGAUG
RNAcentral lists this transfer RNA (73 nucleotides) under Trichonephila clavata. It matches the Rfam family "tRNA". Rfam says of the family: Transfer RNA (tRNA) molecules are approximately 80 nucleotides in length. The record is from Rfam by way of RNAcentral. Lineage: Eukaryota; Metazoa; Arthropoda; Arachnida; Araneae; Nephilidae.